RNAcentral lists this unclassified non-coding RNA (308 nucleotides) under Hevea brasiliensis (rubber tree). The record is from RNAcentral. Lineage: Eukaryota; Viridiplantae; Streptophyta; Magnoliopsida; Malpighiales; Euphorbiaceae.
GGAAGGAGAGAGAGGCGGCUGGAGGUAUGGGUGAGGGAGGACAAAAAAGGAGAAGAAGAGGGAGGAGAGGAGAGGGAAGAAGGGAGAAAAGUGAUUGUCGACGAUUGGGGGCGACCAAUGGAUCGCUGCUUCGCCAGAGAAGAGAAAAAGGUGGGGAAGGGGAAGAGAGAAGGGAGGUGGAAAGAGGCAGAAGGGGAAGAGGGGAGAAAGACGAGAGAGGGGAAAAGAGAAAGACGAAGGAGGAGCGAGAGGGAGAUCUCACCGGCGAUAAUGGCUUUCGCCGGAAAAAAUGGAGGAGAGGAAGAGAG